UUCAAUCCUUAGGUACCCCCCCCACACACACACACACUCACACAAGAGCAGCUUGUGGAUGCACAGAUGCAGGGGCGGCCGGGCAGGGUGAGCUGGCCCACUGGGCACGAGCCGCCCCUCGGCACUCCGUGGCUUGCGGUUCCCCGAGGCAACGGACCCAGGGCCUCGGCCACCCCGGGCUUGGGGAGUCGGUUUAAAAUACUGUUAAUAACCAUGCUGGAAAAUAAGACAAUUUCCUCUUCCACCAAAGGUGAUCAACCCAAAAAAGACAAUGCCGUAUCACAAGAACUGGUGCUUGUUAGUGCCCCUACAGAAGCGGCUGAAAUUUUUCAUGAAAAUAAAAGGACAAAUACUGAAGAAGUAAAUACAGCCAUUUACUUUAACUACCCAUGUCGAAGGCAGAGCUGUGCUCUAGUAAACAUCCCAGCACCAUGUGUCAACAAAAUUAUUUCACACAUUGAAAAUGUGGAGUCAAAAAUACAGGAUCAUUUGAAACAGUUUGAAACAUGUUUGGAAAAAUGGAGAUCUUCUCCCUCAACUCUGAAAGAAGAUUGGAGUACUGCUACAACAGAGAAAAAAGUCAAACAAGAAGAAAAGAAAGGUGAAAACUAUCAAGAAUUAAAGCAAGAAAUGGAAACCUUGCUGUCAGAGACCAUCCAUCUUAUCAAAAGCCUGGAAACUGACCGAGCAGAAGCUGAACAAGCCUUAAAACAACAAAAAUCAAGAAAGAAAUUGAUUAUCAUGAGAAUUGACUCUUGGUCUAUCUGGAGACUUCAAGAACUACCACUAGCUGUGCAGAAAGAACACCAGGCCUAUUUGAGAGAUAUUAUAGAAUUAAGGUGGCACCUGGAAGACAGAAAGCGUCAGCUGGAACAUCUGGAGAAACAAAAGACACAGCUAGAGGAAGCGAACGCAAAGCUUCAGGCGGAUAUAGACUUCAUGCAGGAUCGCAUAGCUCUGCUGGACUCAAAGCGGAGGCAGGAAGUGGCAAUUCUGCAGGAACUUUACGAAAAAAAAUUUGAGGUAAUGGAGAUAUUCAGACAAAUUCAUGAAGAAUUUGAACAAGUUACAGAAGACUCUGAAAAUGCCACAUGGCAGGUUCAAGAAAAUAAAGAAGAAAUGGAUGAAGAGAUUCGUAAUCACGAAAUAAACCUAGAGACACAGAGGAAAGAGUUAGAUAAACUAAACAAUCUGAGUACUCACUACUCAUCAAAAAUAGGAGAUUUUAAAACGGAUAUAGAGGAGAGUGAAGAGAUAGUGACAGAAGUACUAAGGGAAGAAAGAUCAUCAACAGAUGAAGCAUCUACUUUAUCAAGAACAGUGGAUGAUUUGAGGAAGACUUUUGAUCAACUUUGCUGGAAGUACAGAAAAUACGAACAGCAGUAUACGGAGGUCCUUAAUGAUUUUUAUGCCGCUAAAAGAACAUGGGAUGCUGAACUUUCUAAUGUUACAAAAGACUUGUCAAACAUUUCAAUAGCAUAUGCUCAAGCAAUGGGAGAAAAUAAAAGGCUUGCAAAUGAAAUCAUCACCGUAACAGAUCAAAUCAAUGAAAGUAUAAAAAGAAAAGUGGGGUAUGAAUCUGAAGUUCAAUCUUUACUGAAACUGAAGUCAAAAAACAAUGAUUAUCUCAAACACCUAUACAAGGAGGCUUAUCAAAUUGGUGCUCUUUUCCACGUAACCAAAAAUAAAACAGACGAUAUGGAACUUAAAGUAUCAGAAGUGAGAAGAAAAUUUAAGGUUAGAGAAGAGUUUCUGAAAAGACUCAUUCGAGGGAAAGUGGCUGCUGGGAUAAUAAUUCAGAAAAGACUAUAUUCCGUUCAGGAAACCCAGUCACUGGAGAGGCAGAACCUUAUGAAGAGGAAAGCAAUAUAUGCCCUCACGCUGGCGGAAAUACUGGAGCCUCUCCAGCAACUAGAAGAGGAUGCUGUAAGAAUCCAAGCCAUGCACAAAGAACAGGCUCAGAAUCUCAGUGAUGUACUUCAGAAGGAAAACUAUGUUAAAAGAAAAGUGAUACAAACAAAGAAUAAACUGCAAAGAAAGGAAAAGAAAACUCUUAGUAAACUAACAAAAACUGAGAGUAAACGCUCAUUAAUUUUUGAAGAAUUACAGUCUACUAAAAGCAAAACAGUCACUUUUAAUGCAAAAAUAAAUGAAAUGAACAAACAGUUACAAGAAAAGGAACAGGAAAAGGCAGAGUAUGAUCAGAAACUUGAAAAUUUAAAAAAUAUAUUUUUAACUAUGAGAUUUAAAAAGGAACAAGCACAAGCUGUGUUUGAUCAUCUCACGGAAGAGAAAAGAGCCUGCGAAGAGAGGAUCUCUGAGGAAGAUCAGAUGUUUAGAACACUCCUCGCCAUGAGGCAAAAAACACUGGCCGACCUUAAAACUCUAUAGCUGAAGAAAAGUUCAAGUUCUUUGAAGUUUUUCACAGAAAUUUCUGUUGAUCAGUUUGAGCAACAGGAGCCCUAAAAUUUGUCAUCACUAUGGAUUCUCAUGGUGAAAAGAAAAGAAGUUGAGAAUUGACUUUUUCUCUUUCAGUAAAGUUUC
Molecule: long non-coding RNA, 2544 nt
Organism: Chinchilla lanigera (long-tailed chinchilla)
Lineage: Eukaryota; Metazoa; Chordata; Mammalia; Rodentia; Chinchillidae
Source: Ensembl